UCGAAACGCCUAUCCAUCAUCCUCUGUCUCUGUUGAUAAGCAGGUCUGUUACCUUAUUGUUGUUGGUAUUGAUUUUGUUGACGUUGAGGUUAUUGUUGUUGCACUGGUGCUGCAGCCGGAAUGGUCACUGCUGCAACAUAAGGUUGUUGAUGGUAAUUCUGAAAGUUAUUCCUCCGGUUACCCCUGUUCUGAUAAGAAGAUAUGGC
This 206-nucleotide long non-coding RNA is filed under the name Lathyrus oleraceus (garden pea). RNAcentral's name for it is "Pisum sativum (pea) long non-coding RNA (PSAT_LNC027189)". Lineage: Eukaryota; Viridiplantae; Streptophyta; Magnoliopsida; Fabales; Fabaceae. The record is from RNAcentral.